AACGAACGCUGGCGGCAUGCCGAACACAUGCAAGUCGAACGAGAUCUUCGGGUCUAGUGGCGCACGGGUGCGUAACGCGUGGGAAUCUGCCCUUUGGUUCGGAAUAACAGUUGGAAACGACUGCUAAUACCGGAUGAUGACGAAAGUCCAAAGAUUUAUCGCCAGAGGAUGAGCCCGCGUAGGAUAGCUAGUUGGUGUGGUAAAGGCGCACCAAGGCGACGAUCCUUAGCUGGUCUGAGAGGAUGAUCAGCCACACUGGGACUGAGACACGGCCCAGACUCCUACGGGAGGCAGCAGUGGGGAAUAUUGGACAAUGGGCGAAAGCCUGAUCCAGCAAUGCCGCGUGAGUGAUGAAGGCCUUAGGGUUGUAAAGCUCUUUUACCCGGGAUGAUAAUGACAGUACCGGGAGAAUAAGCUCCGGCUAACUCCGUGCCAGCCGCCGCGGUAA
RNAcentral lists this ribosomal RNA (448 nucleotides) under uncultured bacterium. RNAcentral describes it as "partial 16S ribosomal RNA". It matches the Rfam family "Bacterial small subunit ribosomal RNA", at positions 29 to 523 of the family's 1533-position model. The record is from RNAcentral.